GCAAAUGAUGCGUUUGUCGGGUUGUUAUUUGAGUUGAUGUUGGUGAGUGGUUUUCCCGAUCAACUCAGAGGUGCUGCUGCUGGUUGCAUCCACGCUGUUGCUGCUAAGCGCAUGGAUCCGAAAGCAAAACUCACUCUUUUGCAGAGCCUUCAAAUUAGAAAGGUUUUUGGUUUGGUGGCAGAGGAUAAUGACUCUGAGUUGGUCUCAAGUGUUUCUUCUUUGCUUACUGGAUAUUCAACUGAGGUUUUGGAGUGUUCAAAGCGUUUGAACUCCGAG
RNAcentral lists this unclassified non-coding RNA (276 nucleotides) under Hevea brasiliensis (rubber tree). Lineage: Eukaryota; Viridiplantae; Streptophyta; Magnoliopsida; Malpighiales; Euphorbiaceae. The record is from RNAcentral.